AUGGGUUCGGGGCGAUCUAAGUCUCCACCACCAGACUGCAGCAUUACAAAAUUAAUGAGACGUAAAUAUGGUGAUGAGUGCGUGUCAUGUCUUCACGACUGGACAAAACAUUAUGGGUUUCAAGAAGGUGGAUCACUCAGUGUGAAGGACAUACGCGCUUUAAAAGAAAAAUUAGAAGAAAAGGAGAAACAGCUCCGCAAAAGUAGAACGAUCAAAGUUAAAACCUUAGAAGAAAUUGAAUUAAACAACAGAUGCCUUGAGAUUUGGGUUAAAGAAUCAGAACGCAGGGAAAGAUUGAAAUGCCAAAAAGAACUAGGAGGGAGAAAGGACGAGAGUGGUGACGUAGCUGGCAGAAAAGAUAACAACUCUGUGGAAGCUUGCACACCGCCACCAUACACACAUACACACACACAACAUGAUGACAAACAAAGCGCUCCCACUGUUUCUGCUUUGUAUCCCUUUGCAGAGCUGAGCGCGGUCAAGGUGAAUCCCGACCUGGACUCCUUCUACGUCAGCAGGAAGGCCGGGCAGGGUGGACAGCAGGACCAACAGCAACAGCCUGACCAACAGCAACAGCCUGACCAACGACAACAGCCUGAGCAACGACAACAGCCUGCCCCACUGCAACAGCCUGGCCAACCUCUGUCAUCAGGAGCUGUAACAUCAGCUGCAGAGCAGUCAGAGCAUGUGAAGGACAGUGUAAAUGCCACACCAACUCCUGGAAUGGAUGCACAGGCGUUCUGGGCCAAUUCACCUGUCGGCUUCAUUCCUACAUCAUCCACUGCCACAAGCUGUGCCCAUGCACCAACUGCCACUACGAGUGCUGCCUCUGCAACUACCAGCGUUCGUACCCUGAGGAGCAACACACCAGUAGCUCCAGAAAUCAGCUUGCCCAUGGUGGAAGUGGCCGGCCCUGAAGGAAGCAUGCUAGUGCACAGACCAUGGACUAGCGCUGACAUAGCUGACUUUGCCCACACUCUUCCAGACAUCACUGUAUCAGGAAAGACAUUCGGUGCCAACCUUCUGGCUUUCUGCCAGGAGUACAGACCCACUGGAGCUGAGAUCCGUCGCAUCCUGGCCAAACCUUGUGAAUACCAAAAGCUGGCUAGACAAUUGCCUGAUGUGACACUUGCUCUCAAACACAAAGACUGGACAAACAACUUAAAUGAUGGAUUCGUUACCGCAGUGAGGACGCUUGUUGCCCACCUCGAAACUGCGUUCCCUGAUAAAGUCUGUAUGAUUAAAGUCACCACAUGCAAACAACAACCAGAGGAAUCAGUUGAUGACUUUGUUCACCGCCUCACCACUGCAUAA
This 1314-nucleotide long non-coding RNA is filed under the name Betta splendens (Siamese fighting fish). RNAcentral describes it as "lncRNA (ENSBSLG00000003628.1)". The record is from RNAcentral. Lineage: Eukaryota; Metazoa; Chordata; Actinopteri; Anabantiformes; Osphronemidae.